This 271-nucleotide ribosomal RNA is filed under the name uncultured bacterium. RNAcentral's name for it is "partial 16S ribosomal RNA". It matches the Rfam family "Bacterial small subunit ribosomal RNA", at positions 28 to 295 of the family's 1533-position model. The record is from RNAcentral.
GAUGAACGCUAGCGGCAGGCCUAAUACAUGCAAGCCGAACGGCAAGAACUUUAGCAAUAGAGUUCCUAGAGUGGCGUAAGGGUGCGUAACACGUAUGCAAUCUGCCCUCAACAGGAGGAUAGCUCCCCGAAAGGGGAAUUAAGACUCCAUAAGAUCAUUUUAUGGCAUCAUGAGAUGAUUAAACUACCAGGGGGUUNAGGAUGAGCAUGCGCAUGAUUAGUUAGUUGGCGGGGUAACGGCCCACCAAGACGAUGAUCAUUAGGGGAACUGA